RNAcentral lists this ribosomal RNA (846 nucleotides) under fungal sp. ARF-L JY-2012. RNAcentral's name for it is "eukaryotic LSU rRNA". The stretch from base 430 to 583 matches the Rfam family "5.8S ribosomal RNA". The record is from RNAcentral. Lineage: Eukaryota; Fungi.
GAUAUAAUCGGGUGCCUUUCGAGAGGAAGGCUGCGUACACUCCGCCCGUGAUUCGACUCACAGGGCUGAGGGCGGCUAUUUUAUGCCCUUCUGGCUAGCACCUGCUUGAUGGGUGGGGCUGCCGUCCUCAAAACGUAACUGUUCCGUAGGUGAACCUGCGGAAGGAUCAUUACUAAAUCUUCGGCUCCCGGAGCCCCGGCUCCGGGGGUUCCUGCUUGGGUUCAGGGUAUCUCGGUUGUAACCCCAGCGGUUGCUGCCCUGGUAACCCCCCCACAGGUCACCCUUUGUGAAAUCCCCUCGUUGCUUCGGCAGCUCUCCCGCCCGCCCUAAACCGCGGCCGCGGGGGGUCAGCCUGCCGGCGGCACCCCGGAAACUCAUUUGUGAAAAGCGGUACUUUAAUGUCUGAACAGCGCAGUCGAAUGACUAUAAAACUUUCAACAACGGAUCUCUUGGUUCCCGCAUCGAUGAAGAACGCAGCGAAACGCGAUAGUUAAUGUGAAUUGCAGAAUUUAGUGAAUCAUCGAGUCUUUGAACGCACAUUGCGCCUUUUGGUAUUCCGAGAGGCACGUCCGUUUGAGCGUCAGUAAAACCCUUCCGGUUCACGGUUUAUUGCCGCGGCCGGGCCAGUGGCGUGGGGAGGUGACCGCGGCGCUUCGGUGCCGGCAGGUUUCCCCCGCUUAAACGCGGAGAAAGCUAGCGGGCAGGUGCCCGGAUUUGCGAUGACUCGUAGAAUUUUCUUACGUCGUAGCGUCCGGCAGCAUUGCCCCGCCUCUAACUCAGCGGCUGCCCCCAGCGGCGGCCAGAUUUUUGACCUCAAAUCGGAGCGAGGAUACCCGCUGAACUUAA